UCACAUCUGUCCUCCGUCGUUGUCCUCUGUCUUCUGAUGGAGGGGAGCGGCAGACGGGAGAGUAACACGUGGGAACGUACCCUUUGGUUCGGAACAACCCAGGGAAACUUGGGCUAAUACCGGAUAAGCCCUUACGGGGAAAGAUUUAUCGCCGAAGGAUCGGCCCGCGUCUGAUUAGCUUGUUGGUGGGGUAACGGCCCACCAAGGCGACGAUCAGUAGCUGGUCUGAGAGGAUGAUCAGCCUCACUGGGACUGAGACACGGCCCAGACUCCUACGGGAGGCAGCAGUGGGGAAUAUUGGACAAUGGGCGCAAGCCUGAUCCAGCCAUGCCGCGUGGGUGAUGAAGGCCCUAGGGUUGUAAAGCCCUUUCGGCGGGGAAGAUAAUGACGGUACCCGCUGAAGAAGCCCCGGCUAACUUCGUGCCAGCAGCCGCGGUAAUACGAAGGGGGCUAGCGUUGCUCGG
Molecule: ribosomal RNA, 464 nt
Filed under: uncultured bacterium
Lineage: Bacteria
Description: bacterial SSU rRNA
Rfam family: Bacterial small subunit ribosomal RNA
Source: RNAcentral